UGGGGAAUAUUGCGCAAUGGGCGAAAGCCUGACGCAGCAACGCCGCGUGAGUGAUGAAGGCCUGCGGGUUGUAAAGCACUUUCAGUAGAGAAGAAAAGCCUAAGGUUAAUAACCUUGAGUCUUGACGUAACCUACAGAAGAAGCACCGGCUAACUCCGUGCCAGCAGCCGCGGUAAUACGGAGGGUGCAAGCGUUAAUCGGAAUUACUGGGCGUAAAGCGCACGUAGGUGGUUUUGUAAGUCGGAUGUGAAAGCCCUGGGCUCAACCUGGGAAUUGCAUUCGAUACUGCUUAACUAGAGUAUGGUAGAGGGAAGUGGAAUUUCCGGUGUAGCGGUGAAAUGCGUAGAUAUCGGAAGGAACACCAGUGGCGAAGGCGACUUCCUGGGCCAAUACUGACACUGAGGUGCGAAAGCGUGGGUAGCAAACAGGAUUAGAUACCCACGUAGUCCCUGAGCGGGCUGGCAAGGCGCAU
RNAcentral lists this ribosomal RNA (472 nucleotides) under uncultured bacterium. RNAcentral describes it as "bacterial SSU rRNA". It matches the Rfam family "Bacterial small subunit ribosomal RNA", at positions 355 to 825 of the family's 1533-position model. The record is from RNAcentral.